AAAACUGUCAAACUUAUAGAUUGUUAAUACGAACAUAUGAAUGUUCAUUAAAACUAUUAAAUUUAUACAUUCAGAAAAAUAUACAUAUUUGAUAUCUGAAUAUAACAAGAUGAAACAAUGAAAUGCCAUCAAAAUUGAUACAUCAAGUUAUAAAUUCAUAAAUACAACUUGUACAUUCAUCAAAACAACCAUUUAAAAUUCUCUAAACACAACACGUCGUCUUUAUUUGGUACUCCUGCAACAUGGAAAGAAACAUAAAAACUUGUUAAUAUAAACUCAUUAGGUUUGUAAGUUUUAUCGGUACAAAUGUAGGAAUUCUUCAAGAAUAUAAAGGGUAUGAAGAACUAAAAUACACGAACGUUUUAACGAGUUCGCAUGUUUGUAUGGGCAAAACAUACGAACUUAUCAAUAUAAUCAUGCGUUCGUAUCUGUAAACAUAUAUAACACAUGCAAAAGUAUGAACUAUCUAUAUGUUCGUGUUUUAUCAGUACUUUCUUGUGGAUUCAUCAAGAACACAAGAGACAUGAAGAACACGAAGAACCCAUAAGAUAUAUAUAAACAAACUCACAAAUAUCUAUAGGUUCGUGAAAACAAACGCACCAUCAACACCUACGUUCGUUCCAUCGUGAACACAACGUCCGUAUCGAUAAGUGAAAACAAAUGAAUUACCAUGUCAUGCAUUCUUUUAGGUGACGUGAACAAAACAUUUGUAUGAGACAGUGAAACAAACGUACCGUCCCGACCUGUGUUCAUUUUGACGUGAACAAAACAAAUGCUUGUAUCAGAUAUAAAAAACCCAAAAAAAUUAACAAAGAAUAUAAUGAAGAACAUAAAAAAUCCAGAACAAUCCAAUCCACAAGAACGCGAAGAGCACGAAGAACAAGAGGUUAAAAGAGAGCUCAUCUACCUUUCCGAAAUUUGUGUUUCUUCGUGCAAAGAUCCGUCAAAACGAACGUAAAUCGACCAUCCAUUCAAAGAAAUCGAGAGAGAAAAUUUAGAUCACAGAAAACCAUAAAAACUCGAAGAACAUGAAGAACAAGAGCAAAAAAUGGAGAUGACCCACAUCUUUUAGGUUUGUUUACACUCUUCUAGUGUUUUUCUUCUGCAAAUAUCCAUCUUGAUAGUGCUAAAAUCCAUCUUGAAGAGCAAAAAAUGAACUCAGAUCU
RNAcentral lists this long non-coding RNA (1166 nucleotides) under Linum usitatissimum (flax). Its description in RNAcentral is "long non-coding RNA (LUSI_LNC004308)". Lineage: Eukaryota; Viridiplantae; Streptophyta; Magnoliopsida; Malpighiales; Linaceae. The record is from RNAcentral.